AUGGAAAAUUGCAUUUUUGGAAUUUGCAAUAAUGCGAUGGGCGAACGACGGGAAUUGAACCCGCGCAUGGUGGAUUCACAAUCCACUGCCUUGAUCCACUUGGCUACAUCCGCCCCUUAUCCAGCUAAAGGAUUUUUUCUUUUUUCCAUUGAUCAUUAUUCUAUUUAUUUUGACCUCCGUACUUCGAUCGAGAUAUUGGACAUAGAAUGCCACUCUUUAAAAAGGAAAAAGGCUAGUAUAUAG
This 243-nucleotide transfer RNA is filed under the name Triticum aestivum (bread wheat). Its description in RNAcentral is "partial small subunit ribosomal RNA". Lineage: Eukaryota; Viridiplantae; Streptophyta; Magnoliopsida; Poales; Poaceae. The record is from RNAcentral.